Molecule: ribosomal RNA, 445 nt
Filed under: uncultured bacterium
Lineage: Bacteria
Description: SSU rRNA
Rfam family: Bacterial small subunit ribosomal RNA
Source: RNAcentral
AGAACGAACGCUGGCGGCAUGCCUAACACAUGCAAGUCGAACGAGACCUUCGGGUCUAGUGGCGCACGGGUGCGUAACGCGUGGGAAUCUGCCCUUAGGUACGGAAUAACUCAGGGAAACUUGUGCUAAUACCGUAUGAUGUCGAGAGACCAAAGAUUUAUCGCCUAGGGAUGAGCCCGCGUAGGAUUAGCUAGUUGGUGGGGUAAAGCCUACCAAGGCUACGAUCCUUAGCUGGUCUGAGAGGAUGAUCAGCCACACUGGGACUGAGACACGGCCCAGACUCCUACGGGAGGCAGCAGUGGGGAAUAUUGGACAAUGGGCGAAAGCCUGAUCCAGCAAUGCCGCGUGAGUGAAGAAGGCCUUCGGGUUGUAAAGCUCUUUUACCCGGGAAGAUAAUGACUGUACCGGGAGAAUAAGCUCCGGCUAACUCCGCGCCAGCAGCCGC